AUCCGUUCCAGACCUCCAAGGAAAAUUAGCCUUUCUCUGACACACUCCUCAAAAUCCUUCCAGACUUGACCCACUAUUCACCACGGCAGCACAUCACCUCCAGAGUGAAGAAAAGUUUCAAACAUCAGGAAAAAAAAACAGCGCAUUGCAAAACAUAUUAGACUGAACCUAUCGAUGACAAAAUGCAACUGUGAAAUGUUGAGACUGUUCAUCAAAGCUGGACAUAAGCAGGAUCCAUUCCAUUUUCAAAGAGAAAAUCAU
Molecule: long non-coding RNA, 261 nt
Filed under: Homo sapiens (human)
Lineage: Eukaryota; Metazoa; Chordata; Mammalia; Primates; Hominidae
Description: non-protein coding lnc-C15orf41-2:5
Source: RNAcentral